This 293-nucleotide ribosomal RNA is filed under the name uncultured bacterium. RNAcentral describes it as "partial 16S ribosomal RNA". It matches the Rfam family "Bacterial small subunit ribosomal RNA", at positions 505 to 796 of the family's 1533-position model. The record is from RNAcentral.
GUGUCAGCAGCCGCGGUAAUACAGAGGGUGCGAGCGUUGUUCGGAAUUACUGGGCGUAAAGCGCGCGCAGGCGGGUCCUGUAAGUCGGAAGUGAAAUUUCGGAGCUCAACUCCGAAGCUGCUUCUGAUACUGCGGAUCUAGGGACUGGUAGAGGCUGGUAGAAUUACAGGUGUAGCGGUGGAAUGCGUAGAUAUCUGUAAGAAUACCCGUGGCGAAGGCGGCCAGCUGGGCCAGGUCCGACGCUGAGGCGCGAAAGCGUGGGGAGCAAACAGGAUUAGAUACCCUCGUAGUCC